UCUUGGUCAUUUAGAGGAAGUAAAAGUCGUAACAAGGUUUCCGUAGGUGAACCUGCGGAAGGAUCAUUACUGCUUGCUCAUGGCCGGCUUGGUGGGGAAACCCGCCAGACGGUACGGCAACACACCCUUGACUAUCAUACCCAUUGUUACUUCCCUCGGUGGGGCAACCCGCCGCUGGGGACACCGUAAAUCCUCUUGUAUAAAGCAUAAACUUCUGAAACAAACCUAAAAUAUCACAACUUUCAACAAUGGAUCUCUUGGUUCUGGCAUCGAUGAAGAACGCAGCGAAAUGCGAUAAGUAGUGUGAAUUGCAGACUUUAGUGAAUCAUCGAAUCUUUGAACGCACAUUGCGCCCCUUGGUAUUCCAUUGGGCAUGCCUGUUCGAGCGUCAUUUACACCCUCAAGCUCCGCUUGGUGUUGGGCGUCUGUCCCCGCUUGACGCGAGGACUCGCCCCAAAUUGAUUGGCAGCAGCAUCGUCGGCUUCUUGCGCAGCACAAUGCGCUCUAGGAGGCUUGCGGCGGGCUAGCGACCACAAAGAUACCACCCAGUUUGACCUCGAAUCAGGUAGGGAUACCCGCUGAACUUAAGCAUAUCAAUAAGCGGAGGA
This 608-nucleotide ribosomal RNA is filed under the name Pleosporales sp. 5 TMS-2011. Its description in RNAcentral is "eukaryotic LSU rRNA". The stretch from base 238 to 391 matches the Rfam family "5.8S ribosomal RNA". The record is from RNAcentral. Lineage: Eukaryota; Fungi; Ascomycota; Dothideomycetes; Pleosporales.